Molecule: long non-coding RNA, 349 nt
Filed under: Manihot esculenta (cassava)
Lineage: Eukaryota; Viridiplantae; Streptophyta; Magnoliopsida; Malpighiales; Euphorbiaceae
Description: long non-coding RNA (MESC_LNC007730)
Source: RNAcentral
UUAGGUUUCAUUUAAUAGUUUUGACUGAGCCAAGUUGACUUGAGGAAGACUUUAAGCGGCUGAAAAUGCAACACAAAAUUGUAGCAUGGCCGAUGAUUUUUAUUGCCUGGCUGCCUACUCAACAACAUAAAUGAAAAACGCAACUUGCCUGAUCUUCAUAAUGAUUGAGCAAUUUGUUAGAACAAAGGACAUCUUACACACAAACAGAGUUUACUGGAAACUGUAAGAAAAGAAUCCUACAUAAAUAUAAUGGAGAAUGCACUAUUUUUCAGUACAUGUAGUGAAUAUCCCCCCAUGUAAACAUUGCAGGUGAUGAAUUGUGCAAGUUGAAAAUUAUAAAGGCCAAUUC